Molecule: ribosomal RNA, 294 nt
Filed under: uncultured microorganism
Description: partial 16S ribosomal RNA
Rfam family: Bacterial small subunit ribosomal RNA
Source: RNAcentral
GUGCCAGCAUCCGUGGUAAUCACAGAGGGUGCGAGCGUUAAUCCUAUUUACUGGCCGUAAUGCGUGGGUACGCUGCCCAUUAAAGUCAAAUGUGAAAUCCCCGAGCUUAACUUGGGAAUUGCAUUCGAUACUGGUUGGCUAGAGUAUGGGAGAGGAUGGUAGAAUUCCAGGUGUAGCGGUGAAAUGCGUAGAGAUCUGGAGGAAUACCGAUGGCGAAGGCAGCCAUCUGGCCUAAUACUGACGCUGAGGUACGAAAGCAUGGGGAGCAAACAGGAUUAGAUACCCUGGUAGUCC